AUUGAACGCUGGCGGCAUGCCUUACACAUGCAAGUCGAACGGUAACGGGCCUUCGGGUGCCGACGAGUGGCGAACGGGUGAGUAAUACAUCGGAACGUGCCCGAUCGUGGGGGAUAACGAGGCGAAAGCUUUGCUAAUACCGCAUACGAUCUACGGAUGACAGCAGGGGACCGCAAGGCCUUGCGCGGACGGAGCGGCCGAUGGCAGAUUAGGUAGUUGGUGGGAUAAAAGCUUACCAAGCCGACGAUCUGUAGCUGGUCUGAGAGGAUGAUCAGCCACACUGGGACUGAGACACGGCCCAGACUCCUACGGGAGGCAGCAGUGGGGAAUUUUGGACAAUGGGCGCAAGCCUGAUCCAGCCAUGCCGCGUGAAGGAUGAAGGCCCUCGGGCUGUAAACUGCUUUUGUACGGAACGAAAAGCAUUCUUUUAAUACAGGAGGGUCAUGACGGUACCGUAAGAAUAAGCACCGGCUAACUACGUG
This 482-nucleotide ribosomal RNA is filed under the name uncultured bacterium. RNAcentral describes it as "partial 16S ribosomal RNA". It matches the Rfam family "Bacterial small subunit ribosomal RNA", at positions 30 to 507 of the family's 1533-position model. The record is from RNAcentral.